This is a long non-coding RNA of Toxorhynchites rutilus septentrionalis, 1177 nucleotides long. RefSeq lists it as uncharacterized. The record is from RefSeq and is a predicted model, not a curated record. The transcript has 3 exons. Lineage: Eukaryota; Metazoa; Arthropoda; Insecta; Diptera; Culicidae.
UACAACUGCGAGAUGGAAAUUAUAAGGUUGGAAAAUUUUCAAGAUAAACAAAAUCUGUGACGUCACAGAUUUGGUUUAUGUCAUAUCAUGGACAGGCAUACAGCGGUAGCGUUGACCAGCCGUAGUUAGCAGGCCUUUGGGCUUGGUCUUUGCCAGCAGUUUAACGUAGCCGAGCUGCCGGCGCCGCAGAUUGAUAUAAUACUUUGCAACGAGUUCGAACAGAAAGCGAUGUGUAACAUGAAUAUGGACCUGCACAAGCUGUAUCGAAGUUGUAAAGAAGUUCUUACGGGAGCUGCUCGAUUCGAUCAUUCCGGUUAUGUUUUACGACAAAUUCGCCGAAGCCUCAAAAAUUACCAGUGAUGCGGUAGCAGUUGAACAGCUCCGGCUGAAUAUUCAGAAUCUGCCAAUUUACUACAACAUGACGCUGAAGUACAUCAUGAUCCAUCUGAUACGAAUAUGCCGAAUGCAGUACCAGCGAGAACUGAAAGAGGAACCGACAAUACUGAUACAAGUGUGGUGACAUGCGACAUGCUAAUGCGUCCUCCUUGGAAGAAAAUUGUGUAAGUAUGCGUGUAAGUAAUGCUUUUUUUUAUUUUUUCUAGUUAAAUCGUGUAUAACACGGAAAACCACUUGCGAAUAAUGGAGCUGUUGCUCUAUAAGCUGGACUGGAAAGAAAAACUACCAGAAUGUCUGUCUGCUCAUGUGGUACCACUACGUAAAAUCUCUCGAAGUGCGGCUAUGCAUCAUAGGUUGCUUAAAAACACCUACAAUCACAUCCCCGGCCUCUGUGAUACAAGCGCCCUUGGUUGGGGUGCAUAUUAAUGCCGGCAGCAAGAAUAGUAACGGAACAUUGGCUGCCGAAAGUCGGGGGACAGCGUUGAUACGAGCAAGACGGGUCUAUGGUACUAGGUGAGGCCGUUUCGUCAUUAAGUUGGUUAGGGGAGCGGUAUAUGAAAACAGUACGGAAGAAAGAAGAAGGAGAAUUAUUAGCUUGAAGCGUGAAAGAGACAGACUGAUCACGAGCGAGCUUAGGCACAAGCGUAUUGUUCUUUGUUUACCAACAAAACACAGUAGACUUCCAAGAUGGCUGCAGAGUGGUUUUAGCAUGUUGGCCCACCUUAGGAUAUACUUCUAGGCGCCUUGGAUACGAGCAGUUGGUGAUGCAAACCCAGCUGAC